RNAcentral lists this ribosomal RNA (463 nucleotides) under Streptococcus australis. Its description in RNAcentral is "bacterial SSU rRNA". It matches the Rfam family "Bacterial small subunit ribosomal RNA", at positions 28 to 474 of the family's 1533-position model. The record is from RNAcentral. Lineage: Bacteria; Bacillati; Bacillota; Bacilli; Lactobacillales; Streptococcaceae.
GAUGAACGCUGGCGGCGUGCUAAUACAUGCAAGUAGAACGCUGAAGGAAGGAGCUUGCUCUUUCCGGAUGAGUUGCGAACGGGUGAGUAACGCGUAGGUAACCUGCCUGGUAGCGGGGGAUAACUAUUGGAAACGAUAGCUAAUACCGCAUAACAGUAGAUGUUGCAUGACAUUUACUUGAAAGGUGCAAUUGCAUCACUACCAGAUGGACCUGCGUUGUAUUAGCUAGUUGGUGAGGUAACGGCUCACCAAGGCGACGAUACAUAGCCGACCUGAGAGGGUGAUCGGCCACACUGGGACUGAGACACGGCCCAGACUCCUACGGGAGGCAGCAGUAGGGAAUCUUCGGCAAUGGACGGAAGUCUGACCGAGCAACGCCGCGUGAGUGAAGAAGGUUUUCGGAUCGUAAAGCUCUGUUGUAAGAGAAGAACGAGUGUGAGAGUGGAAAGUUCACACUGUGACG